UACGUGCCAGCAGUCGCGGUAAUACGUAAAAGACUAGUGUUAUUCAUCUUUAAUAGGUUUAAAGGGUACUUAGACGGUAAAUCAAGCCCGAAUAGGGAACUAAUAUACUAGAGUUUGAUGUAAGGAAGCAUGAAAGUACUGUUGGUGUAGAGAUAAAAUUCUAUCAUACCAAAUAUGGCACAGGUUUAGGCGAAAGCAUCUUCUUAUGUAAUAACUGACGUUGAAGGACGAAGGCUUUGUGUCUCGAACAGGAUUAGAUACCCCAGUAGUCUAAGCAGACAAUGAUGAAUGUCAUAGAUUAGAUUUCAUUUAUUCUAUAAAUGAAAGUGUAAGCAUUCCACCUCAAGAGUAAUUUGGCAACAUUGGAACUGAAAUCAUUAGACCGUAUCUGAAACCAGUAGUGAAGUAUGUUGUUUAAUUAGAUGGUACGCAAAAAACCUUACCACAAUUUGAAUUAGUAAUUUGUUUUCACAAGCGCUGCACGGCUGUCUACAGUUAAUGUCGUGAGAUUUUGGUUAGUUCCAUUAAAUUAACGCAAACCCUUACUUUAUUUUAAAUAUAAAGUAGUUCACCGCCAUAUUGGAUACGAUAAAAGGGAACAAGACAAGUCAUCAUGGCCUUAAUAUUGUGGGCUAUAGACGUUGCCACAU
RNAcentral lists this ribosomal RNA (650 nucleotides) under Lecidea lactea. Its description in RNAcentral is "SSU rRNA". It matches the Rfam family "Bacterial small subunit ribosomal RNA", at positions 502 to 1230 of the family's 1533-position model. Lineage: Eukaryota; Fungi; Ascomycota; Lecanoromycetes; Lecideales; Lecideaceae. The record is from RNAcentral.